This 255-nucleotide ribosomal RNA is filed under the name uncultured bacterium. RNAcentral describes it as "partial 16S ribosomal RNA". It matches the Rfam family "Bacterial small subunit ribosomal RNA", at positions 99 to 354 of the family's 1533-position model. The record is from RNAcentral.
CGGACGGGUGAGUAACGCGUGGGUAACCUGCCUCAUACAGGGGGAUAACAGUUAGAAAUGACUGCUAAUGCCGCAUAAGCGCACGGGACUGCAUGGUCCAGUGUGAAAAACCGAGGUGGUAUGAGAUGGACCCGCGUCUGAUUAGCUGGUUGGCGGGGUAACGGCCCACCAAGGCGACGAUCAGUAGCCGACCUGAGAGGGUGGCCGGCCACAUUGGGACUGAGACACGGCCCAAACUCCUACGGAAGGCAGCAG